RNAcentral lists this ribosomal RNA (356 nucleotides) under Mycetophila alea. Its description in RNAcentral is "partial 12S ribosomal RNA". The record is from RNAcentral. Lineage: Eukaryota; Metazoa; Arthropoda; Insecta; Diptera; Mycetophilidae.
AAAAAAUGUAAAUUAAAAAUAAAGAGUAGUAAUAGUUAUAUUCUUAAAACUUAAUAAAUUUGGCGGUAUUUUAAUCUAUUCAGAGGAACUUGUUUUAUAAUUGAUAAUCCUCAUUAAAUCUUACUUAAUUUUGUUUAUUUUGUAUAUCGUCGUCAUAAGAAUCUCUUAAAAAAGAAAAAAUUUUCUUAAUUAUUAAUUAAUAAAAAUGUCAGAUCAAGGUGCAGAUUAUAAUUAAGAAAAAAUGAGUUACAAUAAAUUUAUUUAAAAACGAAUUUAAAAUUUAAAUAUUUUAAUAAAGGUGGAUUUGAUAGUAAAAUAAAUUAUAGAGUUUAUUUGAUUUUAGUUCUAAAAUAUGC